GUGCUCACUUUAGCAGCACAAAUAAUAAAAUCAGAAAGAUGCAGAGAAGAUUAGCAUGCCCCCUGCACAAGGAUGACAUGCAAAUUCAUGAAGUGUUCCAUAUUUUU
RNAcentral lists this small nuclear RNA (107 nucleotides) under Chlorocebus sabaeus (green monkey). Lineage: Eukaryota; Metazoa; Chordata; Mammalia; Primates; Cercopithecidae. The record is from RNAcentral.